GCCGGGUUAGCGUAGUGGCUAAUGCGUUGCACUUGUAUCCACACCAGAGGUGCCCCAUCCCUUAGGUCGUCGACGACAUGCAAAGAUCACAGGUUCGAUUCCUGUAUCAGGCA
This is a non-coding RNA of Lasiosphaeria miniovina, 113 nucleotides long. The record is from the annotation of a RefSeq genome assembly. Lineage: Eukaryota; Fungi; Ascomycota; Sordariomycetes; Sordariales; Lasiosphaeriaceae.